UAGCUAGUUAAUUUCUCCCUCAUCGGCGAAGGAAAGAAACGUUCUUCAGUUUAUCUAUCAAAAACCUAACAAAGUUUGUCCGUUUGGAAACAUCCGAUAAAAGUGGAACGAUACGGAGAAAUGGUCCAAAUUGUUGAAAUCUUUAAGCCGAGGUCAGUUUUCAUAUCUUGCUUUUGAAUUAAUGAUGAGAGAUUUCUUUGGGUUAAUUAGUGUUUUGACCAUUUAAUUUUAUAGUUAAUCAGAAGGAUGUGUUCAAUUUUGGAAGAAUAUUUGUGUUUGAUGUUCGAAAUUAAAGCAGUGAAACUUCUGUUUAAUUUCAAUUGUUUGCUUAAGUUUAGGCAAAUUGCAUACAAAUGGGAAAGAGGAAAGGAAUAUACUAAGCAAGUUAUAUGCAUAUGCUUUGAACAACCUAUGUCAAAUGGAUAUACAUGGUUAUGUAAAUUGAUUUGAUUCCUUAAAAAUACAGUAGAACUUUACAACUUGAAUAUCCACUUCUGAUCUGCACGAUACUUCUACACGAAUGAGGGCCAGCUGAAGAAGUAUCAUUCUUGCACUAUUUUGAGGCAAAAUGGCUGUUACAAUCAGUGGAAGAGAGCUCGACUGGAACUUUGAUAGCUGAAUGGAAGCCAGUCGAGACAUGCUUUCCAAGAAGCCAUCUUGGGCUGGGGUUAGCAUAGAUUGAAGGGAACGUCCUAGUCUUGUUGGCAGCCAACUUAAUGGGUUGCGAGUCAGGAAAAGUGCAGGUCGCUGGUCUUGGUGCCACAUAACUAAGAGAGCCAUUUCAUUUAGGGCAAGAAAGAAUGCACGGGCACGAACAUUGCCAGUUCUCAUUAGGUAUGUCGCGGUCCAGAAAAUUGGAAGAACCAUGAGCACCAGUGUUAAAGGAGGCUGAGCUAAAUAGAGCUAUGUAGAGGGAAUUCUGAUCUUCCAAUUCCUCCCCGUCACUGAUUGAUGGGAGUUUCCUUCGAGCAGCUUAGGAUUAUCUGGAACAUUAAACAAGGAGUUAUUUAAGCUAUCAACCACAACAGUUGUAAGCAGAGUUAUGCAAAAAGUUUAUUAACUUAAUCUCAACCUGGAGUUUCAUCAUUCAUGUUUGAGAUUCUUCAAAAUGUUACCAGAAACUAUUUUCCCGACCCAGUUUGGUAUAUGUGCUAGUUCAAAACACAAAAUACUGUGUUAAUGGUUUAUAGUCGUUUUAUGGGACAAGAAUUAGAGCCCAAUACAUGCAUCCAUAUAUAAAAAGGGAUUUAUGGAAACUUCUAACAAUACUGGAGCUUGGAACUUUUGUUAAAUUUCUUUUUUCCCCUCAAUAAUGUGCAUAUGCACGCGCAUAUGAUUAAACUACUUCACAAAGCAUAAACCAGUUCUGUACUGGAGAAUUACUCGUGCGUUUGUGAAAAUGAUCUUUGUUAAUCAGUGUGUAUAUUUCAGUCUAUCUUCUAAAAAAAAAAGAAUCUCAAUCUGCGGCAAUGUUUUGAUGUCCUUAUGGAAUCCAUUAAUUUAAGAAGACUAGGAUUGGCAUUUAACUUGUAAAAUGUGGGAAUUUCCUAGAUAGGCAAUCACGUGUUGGACUCUACUGCAUAAUCUUUCAUGACUCCACUUUCGUCAUACUUCAAUUCACUAAUUAACCAAUUUUCCUUCAUCAAAAGAAAAUUAUGAAAGAAGUUGGCAAUUGUGACUGGCUGAUGUAUACUAAGCUCUCAUCUGUUUAUGUGCAGAAACCUUCACACCUGUGUUCGUCCCUUCCGGGACAUCAGACAAAAUUGGAAUGAUACAGAGAAGAUUAGCAUGACCCCUGCGCAAGGAUGACAAGCACAAAUCGAGAAAUGGUCCAAAAUUUUUUCUUCCCAUUUCUUCAGAGCUCCAUUUUCGUGGGUUUUUGCUUUUUAACUCAAUCUUAUUCAGUUGAACUCUCUAACCUGAGGUCAGUUUCCAAUUUCUAAUAGUGUGUAAGUUAAAAGCUUCUUGCUUUAGAAAUAUUGAUUAGUGUUGUGAAAUUUCAGUUUCAAAAGUGCAUUCAGAUAGUGUAUUGAGCUUAUCCUUGUGUUCAAUUUUUAAGAACAAUUGUGUCGUUUGGUGUUGGAAAUUAAAGCAUUGAAACUCUCUGUUUAAAAUUUCUCUUACUUAAGUUGCUAAUUGAAAAACAAAAGAACAAAAUGAAUUCUCUUGCAUACGAAUGGGAAAGAGGAAAUGGACAUACUAAGCAGGUAUGCAUUUGUACUCUUCAUUUGCCUUGAAUGUAUAAUAUGGAUAUGUGUAUAAUAUGGUUAGUAAAUGUGAUUUGAUUUUUUAAAAUACAGUAAAACUCUACUAGAACUUGAAUAUCCACCUCCGAUCUACACCAGUAUCAAGAUACGUUUACAUGAACGAGCGCCAGCUAAAGAAUUAUCAUCUCCUGCACUAUCUUGAGGCAAUUUGCCUGCUACUGAAAGUUCAAUCAGUGAAAGAGAGCGCUGUGGAAACAAGAAAAGCAUAGAAUGAAGGGAAUGUUCCUAGUCUUGUUGGCUUUGCCAACUAAAUGGGUUGCGAGUCAGGAAAAGCGAACAUGGGGACUCAGGGUCGGGGCGCAACGUAAUAAGAGUCAUUCCAUUUAGGGCAACACAAAAUGCACGGGCACAAAUAUUGCCAGUUAAUUAGAUUUGUCAUUGUUUAGAAAAUAGGAAUAACCAUGAACACCAGGGUUAAAGGAGUCUGAGCUAAAUAGAGCUAUGUUGAGGGAAUGCUGAUUUCCAAUUCCUCCCCCAGUCACCAUUUGAUGGGGUUUUCCUAAGAGCGGCGUAAGAUUAUUUGGAACAUUAAACAAAAAGUUAAUUAAGCUAUCAACUAAAGCAGCUGUAAGCUGAGUUAUGCGAAAAGCGUAUUAACUUAUCUCAACCUGGAGUUUCAUGUUUGAGAUUCUUUAAAAUUGUUACCAGAAACUAAUUUCCCGACCCAGAUUGGUAAACGUGCUAGUUCAAAACUCAAGAACCUGUGUUAAUGGUUGGUAAAUUUUAUAUGGCAGAAGAAUUAGAGCCACCAUAAAAAUCAUACUGACCAUUAAAACAGGUUCUUGAGUUUAUGGUAGAAGAAUUAGAGCCCAAUAAGAUGAAUAUCUUCUCAAUUCUUUUGGUGUAACACGGCUAUAAUAAAUGACAUAGGUGCCAUGAUUGACUUUCUUAGCUCAUUACACAUUUCUUAAUUGUAUCCAUCUUGUAAUUACUUGCCAGCACACUGUUGUUGCUGAAAUUUAUCUACUUCCUUUUAACAAUCAAAAAGAAUUAGAGCCCAAUACAUGCUUCAAUCUAUAACAACGGACAUGUAUUUAAACUACUUUCUUACGAAAACUACUAGCUUUUCUAGAGUUUGGAUCUUUUAGAUUUUUUUCUCGCCUCAAUAACAUGUGUGCGCGCGCAUGUAUUUAAAUUACUUCACAAAGUCAUAAACCAACUCUGUACUGGAGAAUUACUCAUGGAUUUUUGAAAAUGAUCUUUGUUAAUCAUUGAGUAUACUUCAGUCUGUGGCAAUGUUUUAGUGUCGUUGCUGGAUCAAUUAAUUUAAGAAGACCGGGCUUGGCAUCUAACUUGUUAACUUGUGGGAAUUUCCUUGAUAGGCUAUCACAUGUUAGACUCUACUUUAGUCAUACUUCAAUUCACUACUUAAACAAUUUUCCUUCAUCCAAGGAAAAUUAUUUAAAAAGUUGCUAAUUGUGACUGGGUGAUGUAUUGUAUACGACAGUAACUUGCUCUACGGGAUUCCGGAGACCAAGUAAAGAAACAGAGGCAAAAAGACCAUUUGUGAGAUUAAAAUGCUCCCUGAAACUUUGAAGUGUUAACGGGCUAUAAGUUGGGAUAUAGUGAGACUAUUAUCCGAACAAGUAAGGUCAGGUGUGACUAAAGUCUCUUGUGUGUCAUUGUCUUUAUUCUUGGAAAAGGCAGGAACUUUAGGAUUGGGCAAGACCUCAGUUUCAUUUUUGAGCAUGGAGUACACCUCCAACAUCGAUGGUCGGUCUUCCCAUUUUUCUUGGACACACAAUAGUGCAGCUUGCAUGUAUCUCAGUUGCUUGCCUAUUCGAGAAUCAUCUUGCAGUGACAGAUCAAGAAAAUCCACUCCAUUGCCUUUUUCCCAAAGUUCAUAUGCCUGAAUAUUGAUCGUAUUAGCUUAGUUUCCACGUAGAAACUUUUGAGAUUGAACUAGUUAGAUAAGACGGCAAAGACUUACAUAUUCUAGAAGAUUCAGAUCGUUCUUGAUUCCAUAUUCACUUGAAUUCUUCUUUCCGCCAAGGAUUUGCAACAAUAAAACUCCAAAACUGUAAACGUCAUAUUUCCUGGAGUAUAGACCUCGCUUAACGUACUCUGGAGGAACACAACCACUACAGAACACAAGCUGCAAUGUUAGGAGGUAGGAGUAUUAAGUAAGUAACAGUGGUUAAGAGUCAUGAUAUUUACUAGGUCCCGACAAUCCUUCCGGUGUUUGCUUCCUUUUCAUCUUUCUGGAAAAGUUUAGCUAUACCAAAAUCUGAGAUUUUCGGUUUCAUCUCAUCGUCCAGUAAAAUGUUGCUAGCUUUCAAGUCUCUGUGAAUGACUGUGAAUGCUGAGUACUCUUGUAGGUAUAGAAGUCCUUGAGUAACUCCUUCUAUAAUACGAACCCGCGUCUCCCAAUCUAACUGCAGGCUCUGUACUGGAUCUGCAUCACAUAAUGACUUAUUGGACAUGUGGCAUAUAGAUGAUCAUAUGCCUUAAGAUCUUGGAUUACCAUAUGAAGUGCUAUUACACAUUUUGUUGACUAGAUGUUGUGUACAUGGUGUAAUUUGUUAUAUGCCAAGAUUUUCUGGAUUCAAUAUAAUUUUGUAAUGAAGUAAGAGUUUACACACCGUAAAGGUAGAAAUCCAAACUUUUAUUUGGCAUGUACUCAUAAAUCAGUAUCUUCUCUUCUCUUUCAGUGCAACAUCCCUGAAGUUGUAGAACAUUGACAUGCUGUAACUUUGAAGCAAGUGUGACCUCAUUCUGGAACUCUUCUACUCCUUGCUUAGAGUAUGCUGAAAGCCGUUUUAUUGCAAUUUCUUGC
This 5043-nucleotide long non-coding RNA is filed under the name Nicotiana tabacum (common tobacco). The record is from RNAcentral. Lineage: Eukaryota; Viridiplantae; Streptophyta; Magnoliopsida; Solanales; Solanaceae.